AAUCAAAUGGUAAUUACAACGAGGACUGCGACAGGACCAUCGGAGGCAUAGCUAACUCUGAUGACAAACACAGGAAGGAGAUCAAAGCGCUGAAUGACAAGCUGGACAAAAUUCUUCUUAGCCAGCAGAAGCAUGUGCACUUCCUUGUUGAUGACGAGCAGUAUCAAGUCCAAGAUGGGGAGGGGAACCAGUUAGAAGAAGUCAGCUGCAUCAACAAUCAAGGUGGCUACAAAGGAUACACCA
RNAcentral lists this small RNA (243 nucleotides) under Arabidopsis thaliana (thale cress). Its description in RNAcentral is "ATSL207790". The record is from RNAcentral. Lineage: Eukaryota; Viridiplantae; Streptophyta; Magnoliopsida; Brassicales; Brassicaceae.